GAUCCAUUAGGUUCCAAUUAGCGAGGUAGUGGGCGAUUGUUACUCUUAACGAUCGAUUAUGAAUUGAAACCACAUUUCAAUUCUCCCUUUUUAUGAUUAGUGUUUCCUAAUCAUUAGGGCUUCCACAAACCAUGAGUGACACCUAGCAGUAUGUCAUGGUUACCCAAGCUAAGUAGAAUUGGUUGGAGAACCUAUCCAGUUACAACUACAAUGCAAUACGGUCCUUCUCUAAUACAAUACUCUUAAUCACAUUGUUUUAGUGAUAGUUUGUUUCAUGUCUACUAUCCAAUGUGAUACAUAUCUAUAUGAUUCCCUUGAAUAUGAUUUGGAACAAACUUCCUAAGUCAUAUUCAUAUACUUUGGCCAAAGACUUUAGAAUCAUAUCUUAGAGUAUACUCCUUCCACCAUGGAAGGUUAGAGAUCCCUUGUUGUGCAUUCAUAUGCCUACAUGACUAGAUAACUUGACCCCAACAAUGCCGUGGACACUCCGAGGGAAUGCCGUUGACAUGAUAAAAGAUCAAGGACCUAACCAUUAGACAUCUAUGAUGCCUCAGGUCAAAGGACUACUUUGCAUAUUGCAACUUUCGAGUUCUUACAUGACAUGUAUGUUCGAACUCUCUUUUGAUCGUUGUUCAGUGUACUCGAUUACUCUUUCGAGCACCUAUGUGUUUGUCUUAGUGUCCAACACCAAAUGACUUGAGACUAGUCAUAUUCACGCUUGAGUCGACAUAACACAUACUAACCUUAGCGGAUUGUCAAUACCCAAUUGGCAAUCCUAUGGCUAGGAACGUUUUAGGAAUGAACAUAAGAGAAUGGUCUCGAUCAUCUAACUCACUUAGAUCACUUGUCUCUUAGAUCAAAUACAUCCCUUAGAUUCCCUUAUUACUUAAACACAUGAUACAAUAAAUAGUGAUUAACAAUAAGCUUUGCCCUUCAUUAAACAUAUAAAAGUUUAAUACAUUAAGUAUUCCAAAAAGCUAUUACAUCAAAUGAGUGGCUUUGUGGGCAUACUUCCAACAAAACCCAGCCCAAGCCUUACACCCACUCCGACCCCCUCACUUUCUCGAAACCAACUCUCAAACCCUCGAACGCAACCAUGCUUUUUUCUCCUCUCUCUGUCUCUCUCUCCCUGUCCAUCUCUCUCUAAAAUCGGAGAAAAUCCCAUAUAGGUCCUGAUAGCUAAAUCCCACUCUCACUCAAUCCAAACCCGUACCUCCCAUCUCUCUCCAAUCCGUGAGUCCCUUUGUCCCCCUCAUCUCCUCCUCCCCCAACAACCCUCUGACCGAUGCAUCAGCCACAGGACACCCACCCGCAUGUCCCUCCUGAAAAUCCUCUCCCCGAAAUCCCUGCGAACCUCUCCCUCUUGAUGUGAAAAUUAACUAGCACUCAAAUUAACCCUCUUUUUAUCAAUUGUAGUAAGUAUGGAAGUAGGGAUCGUUCUAGGCCGGGGAUUAGGAGGGAUUGCAAAAUCACUUGAAAACUGACUCAAUUACGUAAAAACAAGUUUAAAACACUAAAAUAGACUCAAAGAAUGCAAAGCUAAACUUUAAAAUACCAAAACAAACCAAAAGACGCAAAACAGCACCAAAACACUCAAAACUGCCUUAAAAACACAAUCUGGGCAGUUUUGAACACUGGACACAAACUUGGACGAAAUUAGGUUUUAACUUGACUCAAAACACUUAAAAACACAAACUAACUUGACUUCUAACUAAUAUGACUCAACAAAGAAAAAGGGGAUUGAUUUUGGACGAAUUUGAAAACAAAACAAAACUUUGUAAAACGAACAGAUUUUAAAACGAAUUUGGUUUAAAUGAAUGGAUGGAAGGCUAGCUAAGGGUUCAUCUCCACACAUGUUAUACUUGCAUUCAAAACGAUUUCCAAUUUCUUUUCAAUAACCCAUGAAUUCUCAACGCCCCAAGUUAAUUAGGUCCGCUUAAAUUAACCUUCAGAUUUUCCUAAUGUUAUUGAAUUGGAUGUUUGCAUACGACAACCCAAAGCAUUCCCCACAAGUCCCCUACAUGAUUGCAUAAUAGAGAUACAAGCAAGA
Molecule: long non-coding RNA, 2050 nt
Filed under: Malus domestica (apple)
Lineage: Eukaryota; Viridiplantae; Streptophyta; Magnoliopsida; Rosales; Rosaceae
Description: long non-coding RNA (MDOM_LNC003838)
Source: RNAcentral